RNAcentral lists this unclassified non-coding RNA (768 nucleotides) under Tomophagus colossus. The record is from RNAcentral. Lineage: Eukaryota; Fungi; Basidiomycota; Agaricomycetes; Polyporales; Polyporaceae.
UCAACAAUAGUUGAACUCUUCUUCCUCUUUCUUUACCACCGUCGGACUUCAGGGCAGGUCCAGUUGGACUUGGUGCUCUGGUUCGAGGAUGCUCCUAGAAAGAGAGCAAGAGGGUCACCAAAAGGGUGAGCAUUCAAUUGGCUUUAUUCGAGUGAUGACUACCAUUCUCUUCCCCGUCUUAUACGACCAUGCAGAGGGAAUAGAGGAGGCUUGUUUCACAAACAAGCUUGCGCUUUAAUGCGCAAAAGGUACCUGCCAGUGCCACUUAGUCUGACGUUUAUAAUGUCCACAUUGUAUGCCACUGUAAGAUCGAUGUUGAUUAAUUGGUAAUUUAUAGAAGCUUGAAGGGUGUAUAAAUCAUGUUUUUAAUAUUGUUAUAAGGUGAGCUUUAUUCCAUUUAAGUUCACUUUAUUAUGUGAUGAAUUAUUGCCAUACAUUCGCAGUUUUCGCCAAAGUGCCCUCCCAUAAAGGGAGUACUCCUCCAAUACAGAACGCUUAUAUUCCCCCUCUAAUGCUGUGUUGAACCCAACCGCACGGUUCGAGUGUGGGCCGCCCUUGUGGUGCGCUGAGCGGGAAGUGGAGGUCGGCACAGUGAGGGGUUUAAAUGACCUUCCUUUGGAUGUCUGAUCUCAUUUCAGUUUCAACUAUUAGAGCACCUACUGACCCCUCUGUUGUUCUAGCUAACGCACUUUCAAGCUAUGUAGUAUUGUCUAAUCAGAGUGGUUUAGAGUCUAACAUAUGUGCUUAUAUACUAUGUUUAAAUUAGAU